RNAcentral lists this transfer RNA (65 nucleotides) under Nierstraszella lineata. RNAcentral describes it as "tRNA-Tyr". The record is from RNAcentral. Lineage: Eukaryota; Metazoa; Mollusca; Polyplacophora; Lepidopleurida; Nierstraszellidae.
AAUAAAAUGGCUGAUUUAAGGUGCCGAAUUGUAGCUUUGGGAAUGAGAUAUUUUCUCUUUUAUUA